RNAcentral lists this ribosomal RNA (379 nucleotides) under uncultured cyanobacterium. RNAcentral describes it as "bacterial SSU rRNA". It matches the Rfam family "Bacterial small subunit ribosomal RNA", at positions 376 to 770 of the family's 1533-position model. The record is from RNAcentral. Lineage: Bacteria; Bacillati; Cyanobacteriota.
CGAAAGCCUGACGGAGCAAUACCGCGUGAGGGACGACUGCCUAUGGGUUGUAAACCUCUUUUUUCAGGGAGGAAUCAAUGACGUUACCUGAAGAAUAAGCAUCGGCUAACUCCGUGCCAGCAGCCGCGGUAAGACGGAGGAUGCAAGUGUUAUCCGGAAUCACUGGGCGUAAAGCGUCUGUAGGUUGUUGUUUAAGUCAACUGUUAAAUCUUGAGGCUCAACCUCGAAAUCGCAGUCGAAACUAUUCAACUUGAGUAUAGUAGGGGUAAAGGGAAUUUCCAGUGGAGCGGUGAAAUGCGUAGAUAUUGGAAAGAACACCGAUGGCGAAAGCACUUUACUGGGCUAUUACUAACACUCAGAGACGAAAGCUAGGGUAGCA